UGGGGAAUAUUGGACAAUGGGCGAAAGCCUGAUCCAGCCAUGCCGCGUGUGUGAAGAAGGUCUUCGGAUUGUAAAGCACUUUAAGUUGGGAGGAAGGGCAGUAAGCGAAUACCUUGCUGUUUUGACGUUACCGACAGAAUAAGCACCGGCUAACUCUGUGCCAGCAGCCGCGGUAAUACAGAGGGUGCAAGCGUUAAUCGGAAUUACUGGGCGUAAAGCGCGCGUAGGUGGUUCGUUAAGUUGAAUGUGAAAGCCCCGGGCUCAACCUGGGAACUGCAUUCAAAACUGGCGAGCUAGAGUAGGGCAGAGGGUGGUGGAAUUUCCUGUGUAGCGGUGAAUUGCGUAGAUAUAGGAAGGAACACCAGUGGCGAAGGCGACCACCUGGGCUCAUACUGACACUGAGGUGCGAAAGCGUGGGGAGCAAACAGG
This 429-nucleotide ribosomal RNA is filed under the name Pseudomonadota bacterium. RNAcentral's name for it is "Proteobacteria bacterium partial 16S ribosomal RNA". It matches the Rfam family "Bacterial small subunit ribosomal RNA", at positions 355 to 776 of the family's 1533-position model. Lineage: Bacteria; Pseudomonadati; Pseudomonadota. The record is from RNAcentral.